This 842-nucleotide ribosomal RNA is filed under the name Inocybe straminipes. Its description in RNAcentral is "eukaryotic LSU rRNA". It matches the Rfam family "Eukaryotic large subunit ribosomal RNA", at positions 127 to 946 of the family's 3401-position model. Lineage: Eukaryota; Fungi; Basidiomycota; Agaricomycetes; Agaricales; Inocybaceae. The record is from RNAcentral.
UCUUUGACCGUCCGAGUUGUAAUCUAGAGAAGUGCUACCCGUGCUGGACUGUGUACAAGUCUCCUGGAAUGGGGCAUCAUAGAGGGUGAGAAUCCCGUCUUUGACACGGACUGCCAGUGCGCUGUGGGUGUGCUCUCGAAGAGUCGAGUUGUUUGGGAAUGCAGCUCAAAAUGGGUGGUAAAUGCCAUCUAAAGCUAAAUAUUGGCGAGAGACCGAUAGCGAACAAGUACCGUGAGGGAAAGAUGAAAAGAACUUUGGAAAGAGAGUUAAACAGUACGUGAAAUUGCUGAAAGGGAAACGCUUGGAGUCAGUCGCGUUGGCCAGGAAUCAGCCUUGCUUCUGCUUGGUGUACUUUCUGGUUUGACGGGUCAGCAUCAAUCUUGACCGCUGGACAAAGUCUGUGGGAAUGUGGCAUCUUCUGGAUGUGUUAUAGCCCAUGGUCGCAUACGGCGGCUGGGAUUGAGGAACUCAGCGCGCCCGCAAGGGAAUUGGGUCCUCGGACCACAUUUCGCGCUUAGGAUGCUGGCAUAAUGGCUUCAAUCGACCCGUCUUGAAACACGGACCAAGGAGUCUAACAUGCCUGCGAGUGUUUGGGUGGAAAAACCCAUGCGCGCAAUGAAAGUGAAAGUUGAGACCUCUGUCAAAGGAGAGCAUUGACGCCCAGACCAGACCUUCUGCGACGGAUCUGCGGUAGAGCAUGCAUGUUGGGACCCGAAAGAUGGUGAACUAUGCCUGAAUAGGGUGAAGCCAGAGGAAACUCUGGUGGAGGCUCGUAGCGAUUCUGACGUGCAAAUCGAUCGUCAAAUUUGGGUAUAGGGGCGAAAAACUAAUCGAACCAUCUA